GCUGGUUUGGCUCAGUGGAUAGAGCAUCAGCCUGCAGACUGAAGGGUCCCAGGUUCUAUUCCGGUCAACAGCA
This 73-nucleotide transfer RNA is filed under the name Myotis brandtii (Brandt's bat). It matches the Rfam family "tRNA". Rfam says of the family: Transfer RNA (tRNA) molecules are approximately 80 nucleotides in length. The record is from Rfam by way of RNAcentral. Lineage: Eukaryota; Metazoa; Chordata; Mammalia; Chiroptera; Vespertilionidae.